UAGAAAAAACACUUUAAAAAAUUGCUGCUUGUGCAAUGAAGGUACAAUAAAAGGACUCCUCUGAUCUGACUGGUGUACAGUUAACAUUUCGAAUUCCAGCGGGACAUUUUACCAGAAACUUGCACAGACAAGACAGAGACUGUGAAACAUGAAGGCUGUUAUUUUUGCUGUUUUUGUGCUGCUGCUCAUCAG
Molecule: long non-coding RNA, 192 nt
Organism: Poecilia latipinna (sailfin molly)
Lineage: Eukaryota; Metazoa; Chordata; Actinopteri; Cyprinodontiformes; Poeciliidae
Exons: 2
Source: RefSeq, a predicted model, not a curated record